GGCGUCCGAGUUGUAAUUUGUAGAGGAUGCUAUUGGGUUGCCACCGGUCUAAGUUCCUUGGAACAGGACGUCGCARAGGGUGAGAAUCCCGUAUGUGACCGGCCAGGCGCUCUCUGUAUAGCUCCUUCGACGAGUCGGGUUGUUUGGGAAUGCAGCCCUAAAUGGGAGGUAAAUUUCUUCUAAAGCUAAAUACCGGCCAGAGACCGAUAGCGCACAAGUAGAGUGAUCGAAAGAUGAAAAGCACUUUGGAAAGAGAGUUAAAAAGCACGUGAAAUUGUUGAAAGGGAAGCGCUUGCAAUCAGUCUCGACGGCGGCUGUUCGGCCUCUCUUCUGAGUGGUUUAUUCAGUCGCCGCCGGGCCAGCAUCAGUUUCGGCGGCCGGACAAAGGCGCGGGGAAUGUAGCUCCCUCGGGAGUGUUAUAGCCCCGCGUGCAAUACGGCCCGCCGGGACUGAGGUCCGCGCUCCGGCUAGGAUGCUGGCGAAAUGGUUGUAAGCGGCCCGUCUUGAAACACGGACCAAGGAGUCUAACAUCUACGCGAGUGUUUGGGUGUCAAACCCGUGCGCGCAAUGAAAGUGAACGGAGGUGGGAACCGCAAGGUGCACCAUCGACCGAUCCUGAUGUCUUCGGAUGGAUUUGAGUAAGAGCGUAGCUGUUGGGACCCGAAAGAUGGUGAACUAUGCCUGAAUAGGGUGAAGCCAGAGGAAACUCUGGUGGAGGCUCGCAGCGGUUCUGACG
Molecule: ribosomal RNA, 736 nt
Filed under: Elsinoe verbenae
Lineage: Eukaryota; Fungi; Ascomycota; Dothideomycetes; Myriangiales; Elsinoaceae
Description: eukaryotic LSU rRNA
Rfam family: Eukaryotic large subunit ribosomal RNA
Source: RNAcentral